UCUACGGGAGGCAGCAGUGAGGAAUAUUGGUCAAUGGCCGGAAGGCUGAACCAGCCAUGCCGCGUGAAGGUCAGUGCCCUAUGGGCGUUAAACUUCUUUUGUGCGGGAGCAAUAAUGGUCACGUGUGGCCAGACGAGAGUACCGUACGAAUAAGCAUCGGCUAACUCCGGGCCAGCAGCCGCGGUAAUCCGGGGGAUGCAAGCGUUAUACGGAUUUAUUUGGUUUAAAGGGGGCGUAGGCUGUGAGGUAAGCCAGCGGUGAAAUGCCCCCGCUCAACGGGGUGAAGUGCCAUUGAUACUGCCUUGCUGGAAUGCGGAUGCCGUGGGAGGAAUGUGUGGUGUAGCGGUGAAAUGCAUAGAUAUCACACAGAACACCGAUUGCGAAGGCAUCUCACGAAUCCGCGAUUGACGCUGAUGCACGAAAGCGUGGGUAUCAAACAGGAUUAGAUACCCCGGUAGUC
Molecule: ribosomal RNA, 460 nt
Filed under: uncultured bacterium
Lineage: Bacteria
Description: partial 16S ribosomal RNA
Rfam family: Bacterial small subunit ribosomal RNA
Source: RNAcentral